RNAcentral lists this ribosomal RNA (253 nucleotides) under uncultured bacterium. Its description in RNAcentral is "partial 16S ribosomal RNA". It matches the Rfam family "Bacterial small subunit ribosomal RNA", at positions 524 to 776 of the family's 1533-position model. The record is from RNAcentral.
UACGAAGGGGGCUAGCGUUGCUCGGAAUCACUGGGCGUAAAGCGCACGUAGGCGGAUUGCUAAGUCGGGGGUGAAAUCCUGGAGCUCAACUCCAGAACUGCCCUCGAUACUGGCGAUCUCGAGUCCGGGAGAGGUGAGUGGAACUCCGAGUGUAGAGGUGAAAUUCGUAGAUAUUCGCAAGAACACCAGUGGCGAAGGCGGCUCACUGGCCCGAUACUGACGCUGAGGCACGAAAGCGUGGGGAGCAAACAGG